Molecule: ribosomal RNA, 468 nt
Filed under: uncultured bacterium
Lineage: Bacteria
Description: partial 16S ribosomal RNA
Rfam family: Bacterial small subunit ribosomal RNA
Source: RNAcentral
GACGAACGCUGGCGGCGUGCUUAACACAUGCAAGUCGAACGGAAAGGCCCUGCUUUCGUGGGGAGCUCGAGUGGCGAACGGGUGAGUAACACGUGAGUAACCUGCCCUUGACUUUGGGAUAACUUCAGGAAACUGGGGCUAAUACAUGAUAGGAGCUCCUGCUGCAUGGUGGGGGUCGGAAAGUUUCGGCGGAAGGGGAUGGACUCCGGGCUUAUCAGCUUGUUGGUGGGGUAGUGGCUUACCAAGGCAUUGGCGGGUAGUCGGCCUGAGAGGGUGGCCGGCGACAAUGGUACUGAGGUACGGCCCAGUCUCGAACGGGAGACAACGGGGGGGAGUAUUGCACAGUGGGCGGGAGCCUGAUGCGGCAACGCCGCGUGCGGGAUGACGUCCUUCGUGUUGGAAAGCGCAUUCGCCUGUGACGAAGCGUUAGUGACGUUAAUGGGUAAAGAAGCACCGGCUAACUUCGUG